RNAcentral lists this ribosomal RNA (71 nucleotides) under Paenibacillus phyllosphaerae. RNAcentral's name for it is "Bacterial small subunit ribosomal RNA". It matches the Rfam family "Bacterial small subunit ribosomal RNA", at positions 1 to 71 of the family's 1533-position model. RNAcentral also lists the same sequence under 3 other names. The record is from Rfam by way of RNAcentral. Lineage: Bacteria; Bacillati; Bacillota; Bacilli; Caryophanales; Paenibacillaceae.
UUUAUGGAGAGUUUGAUCCUGGCUCAGGACGAACGCUGGCGGCGUGCCUAAUACAUGCAAGUCGAGCGGAU